GUUCUUAUAGUGUAUAAUACUGCACAUUAGAUUUUCAAUUUUUUAGAACACGUAAUGUGUUGAGAAUA
Molecule: transfer RNA, 68 nt
Filed under: Eumandya parva
Lineage: Eukaryota; Metazoa; Mollusca; Cephalopoda; Sepiida; Sepiolidae
Description: tRNA-Glu
Source: RNAcentral